UACGGAGGGUCCAAGCGUUAUCCGGAAUCAUUGGGUUUAAAGGGUCCGUAGGCGGGCAAUUAAGUCAGAGGUGAAAUCCCACAGCUCAACUGUGGAACUGCCUUUGAUACUGGUUGUCUUGAGUUAUAUUGAAGUGAGUAGAAUAUGUAGUGUAGCGGUGAAAUGCUUAGAUAUUACAUAGAAUACCGAUUGCGAAGGCAGCUCACUAAGUAUAUACUGACGCUGAUGGACGAAAGCGUGGGGAGCGAACAGGAUUAGAUACCCCCGUA
RNAcentral lists this ribosomal RNA (269 nucleotides) under uncultured prokaryote. RNAcentral's name for it is "partial 16S ribosomal RNA". It matches the Rfam family "Bacterial small subunit ribosomal RNA", at positions 524 to 792 of the family's 1533-position model. The record is from RNAcentral.